Molecule: ribosomal RNA, 24 nt
Filed under: Hemicriconemoides strictathecatus
Lineage: Eukaryota; Metazoa; Nematoda; Chromadorea; Rhabditida; Criconematidae
Also listed under: 1 other name
Description: partial 28S ribosomal RNA
Source: RNAcentral
UCCGACCUGAACUCAGACGUGGUU